This is a long non-coding RNA of Humulus lupulus (European hop), 575 nucleotides long. RefSeq lists it as uncharacterized. The transcript has 3 exons. Lineage: Eukaryota; Viridiplantae; Streptophyta; Magnoliopsida; Rosales; Cannabaceae. The record is from RefSeq and is a predicted model, not a curated record.
CUGAUUUGCGUGAGGGAGAAGAAUGGGUCGGGACGUGUGUGUCAUCGGCGUGUGAAUGAAACGAGAGAAUAUGAUGGGAAUGGAUAUUUUAAGUUUAGGAAAAAAUAGGGAUUGUAGUUUGGGCUUCGGCCCACCACUUGGUAGUUAAAGACCAAAUAGCGACAGCUUAUGAUAGUCACUAAUUGGCUAUUAAAUUAAAUGCCUUCUCUCUCUGGUCCCUUAGAUUUAUUCCAUUUUCUCAGACGAGCUCGAAUGUCUGCAAUGGCGGCUUGCACUGUGAAUGUGCUCAGGUGACUGGCUCCAGCGACUCUGCUUCAUCGACGUGCUGCGUGGUGCUCAGCCUUGGAAGAAGGCUAUGCUCAUCUAUUUGAAGAGAAGUGCAUAUGAGAAGUAUAUAGAAAAUUACUACCUCCUUAUAUAAGUUUCAGAAAGUCUUGAUCCCAGUUUUGCAAGAGACAGGUAGGUUACACAAGGCAAUCUCAUCUGAUGUUGGGUGAUUUCAUUAAGGUACUUUCCAAUUUACUGUAUAAUCUUAAUCUGUCAUUGGUGAGAACAAAAUUCUUGGGUAUAAUUGU